Molecule: ribosomal RNA, 497 nt
Filed under: uncultured bacterium
Lineage: Bacteria
Description: partial 16S ribosomal RNA
Rfam family: Bacterial small subunit ribosomal RNA
Source: RNAcentral
GAUGAACGCUGGCGGCGUGCCUAAUACAUGCAAGUCGAGCGAACAGAUAAGGAGCUUGCUCCUUUGACGUUAGCGGCGGACGGGUGAGUAACACGUGGGUAACCUACCUAUAAGACUGGGAUAACUUCGGGAAACCGGAGCUAAUACCGGAUAACAUUUGGAACCGCAUGGUUCUAAAGUGAAAGAUGGUUUUGCUAUCACUUAUAGAUGGACCCGCGCCGUAUUAGCUAGUUGGUAAGGUAACGGCUUACCAAGGCAACGAUACGUAGCCGACCUGAGAGGGUGAUAGGCCACACUGGAAGUGAGACACGGUCCAGACUCCUACGGGAGGCAGCAGUAGGGAAUCUUCCGCAAUGGGCGAAAGCCUGACGGAGCAACGCCGCGUGAGUGAUGAAGGGUUUCGGCUCGUAAAACUCUGUUAUUAGGGAAGAACAAACGUGUAAGUAACUGUGCACGUCUUGACGGUACCUAAUCAGAAAGCCACGGCUAACUACGUG